GUUUUAGUAACUAUAGGUAACACUUUACGACGAGGGUGCACGAAGGGGUGUUUUUUAAGAAUGGCUCUAUAUUAAGAGGACAUGAAUAUUGCUUCACUGUGUAUGCAUGUAGGGUACGUAAAUGGUCUUUUCCGCAUGCUAAUAACACAUGUUUACUUCAUGGAAACAAUACAUGUUUAUCCCGAAUCUCAGUGUUGCAAAGUUUACUUCAAGCUGUGUCUGCUUAUUCAAAGCUAUUAGUAUUCCAAGCACAUAGUUUGCCAAGAUUCUUAAUUGAUAGAAUCACAUACUGGUAACUUGGGAAGUAGGAAGAAUCAGUGGCGAUUUUAGCAUGUAAAUCUUGGUGUGGCAAACUCCCCCAAAAAUAUUUUGAUGCAUGCCAGCAUAGCCACUAAAGAGCACAACACAACACUAAGCAAUAUAUUAUUUGCACUGUAACGGUGACAAACGGUGCCCACAAACUGUUUGGGCUUGUAUAAAUUAUGUUUAGCACCAUGGAGUGAAUCUGUACCACUGCUACACCUGGCUACCAGCGGAGCCUUUUCUGGCCUGCAUAAUUCAGCCUCAUUAACUGCCUUUAAAAAAAACAAGUCAGCUGAUAUGCCUUACUUGCUUAAACAAGUGUGGUUUCUACUGACAAUUGAGAUGUACAAACUAUGUCAUAAGGGGACGACGAACGGAUAAGAGUCAAUCCGUAAUUUUGAUUAAGACAUCAAUGAGUGAGCUAGGACGGACGUAGUCAAUAUAACUAUUUGUUCAGCAAUUCAGAACAUGUGCCGUUCUUACAGUAUUUGCCAUGUACCCAAAGUCUGAACCGUCGGAUAAAUAAAGGGGGCUUAUAAGCAGACAAUGAAAGCUCUUACAAUAUUCAAUGAUUACAUUUCUCUUAAACAGGUGUCAUGACGUUGGCCUGUUGGGGGAGGUUUAUGACCCCCAUAAAUACCUUUCCCUUUUUCUCACUCUCUAUUCUAGAGAGGGACUCUGGAAAGCCUUUGGUAACAUCAAAAGAUGGGAAACGGAACCAUAUUUUGGACGUGAGGACUUGCAGUCCCUGCGUUAAAAGGACAAGAUCACCAACAGAACUAAAGCCAACCUAACUAAAGCAGCUGUAAACGUGGGCUUGUAGAGGACGGAGAGUAUCCAUUCUACCACGCUCCAGAUCACCACUAGACAUUCUUCAGAGGACAAGAAAUCCAUGCUGGACAACCCAGCCUUCUAUCUACGACCAAUCUAUCGAAGGGCAGUUCAGAGUAAAUACUGUAUUUAUUGCAUUUUCCUUUUUCAAAUGGGUGGUUAUUUAGAAUGCAUAAGAUACUGUAUUUACGAUAGCAUUGUUUCUUCCUUUGUUACUUUUUCUUCCCGCUCUUUUUCUCUCAAACCCAACCCCCUUUCUUUGUGUAACCAGCCGUCAUAUCUGUUCCAUCCGCUAAGGACAUUUUCCUUUAUGAUAAU
Long non-coding RNA from Oncorhynchus tshawytscha (Chinook salmon), 1452 nucleotides. Lineage: Eukaryota; Metazoa; Chordata; Actinopteri; Salmoniformes; Salmonidae. The record is from Ensembl.